CUUUUUCAUUACACUUGCAGACACUGAUAACAAGUGUGUUUGUGCUGCUGAGCUCAGGAUUGCCGUUGUCUGAGAUGAUGACAGGCAGGUAGUGGAUUUUGGCAAGUUCACGAUUAAACUGUCCAUCCUUGACAGUGAUAUUAGCUGUGUUAUCGGGGUUCUCAGUCAAGGAGAAGUUGCUAUCUUCUGUGGUUAGGGAGUAUGUGAAGAAACCUCCAGGUGAUAUUUCAUCCUUGUCAGUAGCUGAAAUCCUGAUGAUUACCU
This 264-nucleotide long non-coding RNA is filed under the name Gallus gallus (chicken). Lineage: Eukaryota; Metazoa; Chordata; Aves; Galliformes; Phasianidae. The record is from RNAcentral.